GAGUUUGAUCCUGGCUCAGGACGAACGCUGGCGGCGUGCCUAACACAUGCAAGUCGAGCGAUGAAACCCUUCGGGGUGGAUUAGCGGCGGACGGGUGAGUAACACGUGGGUAACCUGCCUCAAAGAGGGGAAUAGCCUCCCGAAAGGGAGAUUAAUACCGCAUAAUAUGUUUUGGUCGCAUGACCUUGACAUCAAAGGAUGUUCUUCGGAACUUCCACUUUGAGAUGGACCCGCGGCGCAUUAGCUAGUUGGUGAGUAAGCCCACCAAGGCAACGAUGCGUAGCGACCUGAGA
This 293-nucleotide ribosomal RNA is filed under the name uncultured bacterium. Its description in RNAcentral is "partial 16S ribosomal RNA". It matches the Rfam family "Bacterial small subunit ribosomal RNA", at positions 9 to 297 of the family's 1533-position model. The record is from RNAcentral.